RNAcentral lists this long non-coding RNA (204 nucleotides) under Elaeis guineensis (African oil palm). RNAcentral describes it as "long non-coding RNA (EGUI_LNC047034)". The record is from RNAcentral. Lineage: Eukaryota; Viridiplantae; Streptophyta; Magnoliopsida; Arecales; Arecaceae.
CAGCUUAGAAAAGAUUUGUCUUAAUUCAUGAGAUGAAUUUAAGACAACACCUGCUAAUUCCUGUCACCUGCCAUUUUUAUUUUAGAACAUUGGUCAAACGUUGAUCCAUGGACCUUAGACUGAAGGCCACUUGGCAAGAGGUCAUUGGAGAUUUUUUAUGGAGUGUCCACCUACUAAAUUGGGCCUCAAAGUGGGUUCCAUAUU